RNAcentral lists this ribosomal RNA (446 nucleotides) under uncultured bacterium. RNAcentral's name for it is "partial 16S ribosomal RNA". It matches the Rfam family "Bacterial small subunit ribosomal RNA", at positions 338 to 795 of the family's 1533-position model. The record is from RNAcentral.
CCUACGGGUGGCAGCAGUCGAGAAUCAUUCACAAUGGGGGAAACCCUGAUGGUGCGACGCCGCGUGGGGGAAUGAAGGUCUUCGGAUUGUAAACCCCUGUCAUGUGGGAGCAAAUUAAAAAGAUAGUACCACAAGAGGAAGAGACGGCUAACUCUGUGCCAGCAGCCGCGGUAAUACAGAGGUCUCAAGCGUUGUUCGGAAUCACUGGGCGUAAAGCGUGCGUAGGCUGUUUCGUAAGUCGUGUGUGAAAGGCGCGGGCUCAACCCCCGGACGGCACAUGAUACUGGGAGACUAGAGUAAGGGAGGGGGAACCGGAAUUCUCGGUGUAGCAGUGAAAUGCGUAGAUAGCGAGAGGAACACUCGUGGCGAAGGCGGGUUCCUGGACAUUAACUGACGCUGAGGCACGAAGGCCAGGGGAGCGAAAGGGAUUAGAUACCCUGGUAGUC